RNAcentral lists this ribosomal RNA (640 nucleotides) under uncultured Frankia sp. RNAcentral's name for it is "bacterial SSU rRNA". The stretch from base 1 to 472 matches the Rfam family "Bacterial small subunit ribosomal RNA", at positions 1064 to 1533 of the family's 1533-position model. The record is from RNAcentral. Lineage: Bacteria; Bacillati; Actinomycetota; Actinomycetes; Frankiales; Frankiaceae.
GUCGUGAGAUGUUGGGUUAAGUCCCGCAACGAGCGCAACCCUUAUCCUAUGUUGCCAGCGCGUCAUGGCGGGGACUCAUAGGAGACUGCCGGGGUCAACUCGGAGGAAGGUGGGGAUGACGUCAAGUCAUCAUGCCCCUUACGUCUUGGGCUGCACACAUGCUACAAUGGCCGGUACAAAGGGCUGCGAUACCGCAAGGUGGAGCGAAUCCCAAAAAGCCGGUCUCAGUUCGGAUCGGGGUCUGCAACUCGACCCCGUGAAGUCGGAGUCGCUAGUAAUCGCAGAUCAGCAUUGCUGCGGUGAAUACGUUCCCGGGCCUUGUACACACCGCCCGUCACGUCACGAAAGUCGGUAACACCCGAAGCCGGUGGCCCAACCCUUGUGGGGGGAGCCGUCGAAGGUGGGACCGGCGAUUGGGACGAAGUCGUAACAAGGUAGCCGUACCGGAAGGUGCGGCUGGAUCACCUCCUUUCUAAGGAGCUUUCUGGCUGGGUGUCCUCUGUAUUGGAGGGUGUCUGGUCCAAAGCGAAAACCACCCGGAUGGUUGGUCUGGGUGCUCAUGGGUGUGGAACGCUGACUGUGUUUCUGUCUGGUCUGGGUCUGUUGUCCGGGGUUCCUGUGUGUUCUCUGGGUGGUGGGU